This 85-nucleotide transfer RNA is filed under the name Felis catus (domestic cat). It matches the Rfam family "tRNA". Rfam says of the family: Transfer RNA (tRNA) molecules are approximately 80 nucleotides in length. Lineage: Eukaryota; Metazoa; Chordata; Mammalia; Carnivora; Felidae. The record is from Rfam by way of RNAcentral.
ACCUGGGUGGCUCAGUCGGUUGAGCGUCUGACUUCAGCUCAGGUCAGGAUCUCACAGUUUGUGAGUUCGAGCCCUGCGUCAGGUU